This 557-nucleotide unclassified non-coding RNA is filed under the name Hevea brasiliensis (rubber tree). The record is from RNAcentral. Lineage: Eukaryota; Viridiplantae; Streptophyta; Magnoliopsida; Malpighiales; Euphorbiaceae.
UGUGUGUGUGUGUGUGUUUGUGUAUGUAAUUUAGGCAAUUUAGCUGUGGUACCUUGCGUCAAAAAAGCCCUCACCUUGCCUCGCCUCUUACCUAAGGCCAUGGAGUACCCUAUCGCCUUAGUGUCGCGUUAAUAACACUAGAACCAAAAGAAAAAAAAAAUGACAGAGAGGGAAGGGGAAAAGAGAGUUAAAUUGCCUAAAAACCUUCACGCAUUACAGCCAUAGAAAAUCUGUCUCUUGCCUUAUCUCUUCUGAAAUCAAUCAAUUAUUCACCCCAAAUCCUAGUGUUGGAAGACCUCUUAUGGAUGUAAACUAGAGAAAAACCAUGAGUAAAUCUUUCUCUUUCUCUACAUGCCAAUCUAUUCAAUUAGGUUUCUUACUUUUCAAUUUGGGGGUCGCUUGGAUGUUAGAAGUGAAGAAUUUUCUCACAGACUAACAGAUUUUUAGAUAACAUGAUUGGGCUUAAUUGAUGAGAUCCAAUAAGUCUAAGCGCUUGAUUGACUAAAAUUAAAGCAAGAGGGUUCAACUGACUGUUAAAGGGCUUAAUUAGGCAUUUG